RNAcentral lists this non-coding RNA (97 nucleotides) under Micromonospora narathiwatensis. The record is from RNAcentral. Lineage: Bacteria; Bacillati; Actinomycetota; Actinomycetes; Micromonosporales; Micromonosporaceae.
GAGAGCCGGAUGCGGGGAAAUCUCGCCUGUCCGGUUCGGGGAGGGGCCGACGGAAAAGGACCCGAACCACGGGCACCUCGCCGUCGGCCUACUCCAC